This 805-nucleotide long non-coding RNA is filed under the name Astyanax mexicanus (Mexican tetra). RNAcentral's name for it is "lncRNA (ENSAMXG00005011873.1)". Lineage: Eukaryota; Metazoa; Chordata; Actinopteri; Characiformes; Acestrorhamphidae. The record is from RNAcentral.
CACCUACAGCCCCUCGAGCGCUCUGUGCGCUGACAGUAACAUAAACAACAUUGACAAAACGAGACAAUGCAUUUUAUUAAGGCAGCACCUGCACAAGACACAGCACUGUGUGCUGAUGUUCAAGGACUUUCUCUUAUGAGACUACUGUGGAACUUCAUCAGACAUGGUGCUGUUCGACAUCAACCUAGGAGUGAUGAGGGGAAAGAGCAUCAUCUACCCACCCAGAGAGAUCAAGGCCAAUUGUGCUCUCUCAGGGCUCCGGCAGCUGAUGACAGCUGGAGGGCAUGUUGGGAUUGAGCAGAGCCUCCUGUAGCGUGGAGAUGAUGGUGAGAGGUCGAGGAGGAAGAAGAAGUAGAAGAGGGGGGGCUGCAUAGGCAGCCCGGGUGCCGUGUGGAGGACUUGGAAGGUGGGGGUUUAAACCCGCACUCUAUGCAAAGAGGAGGCCAUGUGCAGAGUAGAUGAGGGGAAGGCCCUAAAGUUAAUAGGUUAAUGAGUGUGCCGUGCAUGGAGAAGAAUGAGGCAGUGCGUCUGGCGGGCCUGUGAUAAAGAAAAGCUCUUCUCUGGUUUGGGAAUUUAAGCGAGAGUCUCACAGUGUGUUCCAAAUAGGCCUCCAAUCACUGUUCCCUGUACAGGAACAUCAGGAGCACUGUAUACAGUAGUUAUUGUGUUCCAGGAGAGAGUGGCUGCAUUCAAGUUGCAUAUUAUACACUAAUACUCUAAGAUACUGUAUAUAUUAUAAUCUUAACAGAGAGGAGUUGGCAGGUUAGUGAAUAAACUAACUUUUUAUGCACUAAUUUAUGAUACA